This 461-nucleotide ribosomal RNA is filed under the name Loxosceles similis. RNAcentral's name for it is "partial 16S ribosomal RNA". The stretch from base 124 to 419 matches the Rfam family "Bacterial large subunit ribosomal RNA", at positions 2074 to 2646 of the family's 2925-position model. The record is from RNAcentral. Lineage: Eukaryota; Metazoa; Arthropoda; Arachnida; Araneae; Sicariidae.
UGCUAAGGUAGCAUAAUAAUUAGCCUUAUAAUUAAAGGAUAGAAUGAAAGGAUACACGACUUAUCAAUUUUUCCAUUCAAUAAAAACUAACUUUAUUUAAAAGUAAAAAAGCUUUUAUACAUCAGAAAGACGACAAGACCCUAUUGAACUUUACUAAUAGUUAGCUGGGGAGGCUAAAAACUAUAUCUUAACUUCAUAUCAUAAUAUAGACCUAAAUAAUUUAAUCAUAAAAACAAGUUACCAUAGGGAUAACAGCGCAAUUUUACUAAAGAGAAAUAUCCAAAGUAAAGAUUACGACCUCGAUGUUGAAUUAAUUUAACUUCACAAAAUAAAAAAUGUCAAAGUAAGUCCGUUCGACUUAUAAAAUAUUACAUGAUUUGAGUUCAGACCGGUGUAAGCCAGGUCAGAUUUUAUCUUCUUAUAAAUUAUUAUAGUACGAAAGGACCUAAUAAAUAAUAUAA